GGGUUGUGAGGUUAAGCGACUAAGCGUACACGGUGGAUGCCCUGGCAGUCAGAGGCGAUGAAGGACGUGCUAAUCUGCGAAAAGCGUCGGUAAGGUGAUAUGAACCGUUACAGCCGGCGAUGUCCGAAUGGGGAAACCCAGUGCAAUUCGUUGCACUAUCGUUAACUGAAUACAUAGGUUAACGAGGCGAACCGGGGGAACUGAAACAUCUAAGUACCCCGAGGAAAAGAAAUCAACCGAGAUUCCCCCAGUAGCGGCGAGCGAACGGGGAGCAGCCCGGAGUCUGAAUCAGCUUGUGUGUUAGUGGAAGCGUCUGGAAAGUCGCAGGGUACAGGGUGAUACUCCCGUACACUAAAACGCACAGGUUGUGAACUCGAAGAGUAGGGCGGGACACGUGGUAUCCUGUCUGAAUAUGGGGGGACCAUCCUCCAAGGCUAAAUACUCCUGACUGACCGAUAGUGAACCAGUACCGUGAGGGAAAGGCGAAAAGAACCCCGGCGAGGGGAGUGAAAAAGAACCUGAAACCGUGUACGUACAAGCAGUAGGAGCCCCACCACCAAAGCGUUUCGCUUUGCGUGGUGCGCAAAAUGCGUAACGACAGCGCGAUGGACGGUUAACGGAGCGUAAGCGACGUUCAACAUCAAAAAUCAGGCAGUGGAGCGUUUUGGGGUGGGGUGACUGCGUACCUUUUGUAUAAUGGGUCAGCGACUUAUAUUCUGUAGCAAGGUUAACCAUAUAGGGGAGCCGCAGGGAAACCGAGUCUUAACUGGGCGUUAAGUUGCAGGGUAUAGACCCGAAA
This 799-nucleotide ribosomal RNA is filed under the name Klebsiella michiganensis. RNAcentral's name for it is "partial 23S ribosomal RNA". It matches the Rfam family "Bacterial large subunit ribosomal RNA", at positions 1 to 720 of the family's 2925-position model. The record is from RNAcentral. Lineage: Bacteria; Pseudomonadati; Pseudomonadota; Gammaproteobacteria; Enterobacterales; Enterobacteriaceae.